AGUGGGAUAGCUGGGUCAAAUGGUGAUUCCAUUCCAAGUUUUUUAAAAAAUCUCUAUGCUACUUUCUGGAUUGGCUGCACCAAUUUGCAGUCCCACCAGCAAU
This 103-nucleotide microRNA precursor is filed under the name Marmota monax (woodchuck). Lineage: Eukaryota; Metazoa; Chordata; Mammalia; Rodentia; Sciuridae. The record is from RNAcentral.